Non-coding RNA from Gymnothorax javanicus (giant moray), 76 nucleotides. Lineage: Eukaryota; Metazoa; Chordata; Actinopteri; Anguilliformes; Muraenidae. The record is from the annotation of a GenBank genome assembly.
AGGCGAGUGGCCAAAGCGGCAAGGCGCCGGGUCUCAGUAAACCGAAGAUCAUGGGUUCGACCCCCAUCUGUGCUUA